AAGCUCGUAGUUGAAUUUCGGGCCUGGCUGGACGGUCCGCCCUUCGGGUGAGUACUGUCUGUGGUCGGGUCCUACCUUCUGGCGAAGCGUCAUGGCCUUAACCGGCCGUGGCGGGGAACCAGGACUUUUACUGUGAAAAAAUUAGAGUGUUCAAAGCAGGCAAUCGCUUGGAUACAUUAGCAUGGAAUAAUGGAAUAGGACAAUGGUUCUAUUUGUUGGUUUCUAGGACCGUUGUAAUGAUUAAUAGGGAUAGUUGGGGGCAUUAGUAUUCAAUUGUCAGAGGUGAAAUUCUUGGAUUCAUUGAAGACUAACUACUGCGAAAGCAUUUGCCAAGGAUGUUUUCAUUAAUCAAGAACGAAAGUUAGGGGAUCGAAGACGAUCAGAUACCGUCGUAGUCUUAACCAUAAACUAUGCCGACUAGGAAUCGGGCGAUGUUGAAAAAAUGACGCGCUCGGCACCUCAUGGGAAACCAAAGUGUUUGGGUUCCGGGGGGAGUAUGGUCGCAAGGCUGAAACUUAAAGGAAUUGACGGAAGGGCACCACCAGGGGUGGAGCCUGCGGCUUAAUUUGACUCAACACGGGAAAACUCACCAGGUCCUGACAUAGUAAGGAUUGACAGAUUGAGAGCUCUUUCUUGAUUCUAUGGGUG
This 648-nucleotide ribosomal RNA is filed under the name uncultured Paraglomus. RNAcentral's name for it is "SSU rRNA". It matches the Rfam family "Eukaryotic small subunit ribosomal RNA", at positions 624 to 1276 of the family's 1831-position model. The record is from RNAcentral. Lineage: Eukaryota; Fungi; Glomeromycota; Glomeromycetes; Paraglomerales; Paraglomeraceae.